Molecule: ribosomal RNA, 2892 nt
Filed under: Triticum aestivum (bread wheat)
Lineage: Eukaryota; Viridiplantae; Streptophyta; Magnoliopsida; Poales; Poaceae
Description: partial small subunit ribosomal RNA
Source: RNAcentral
AUGGUGCGAGCGCCCUCGCCUUCUUCUCUCCUCUACGCUCCCCUGCUCCUAGUGGCUGCGCUGGUCGGGCAGUACCCGGCGGGCUCGCUGCGGGUGGCGACGGCGCAGACCGUGGCGGCACCGGUGCCGGUGCGCGUCGGGGUGAUCAUGGACUGGGCGACCAAGGCGUCGUCGGCGGUGUCGCUGAGGCGGCGGACCGGCAUUGAGAUGGCGGUGGAGGACUACUACGCGGCGCACCCGGGGUCGGCCACCAGGGUGGAGCUCCGCUUCGGCGACUCCAAAGGGGAGGUCGUCGGCGCCGCUUCCGCCGGUGCAGGCCAUCAUCGGGCCCAAGACGUCAGCGGAGGCGGAGUUCGUCGCCCAUCUCGGCAGCCGCGCCCACGUCCCCGUGCUCUCCUACUCUGCCACCUCCCCGUCCAUCACCUCGACGCAGACGCCCUACUUCGUGCGCACGGCCGCCAACGACUCCUUCCAGGCCACCCCCGUCGCUGCCGUCCUCGCAAGCUUCGGGUGGCGCGCCGUGACCGUCCUGCACGAGGACUCCCCGUACGGCGCCGGCAUCCUCCCGGCGCUCGCCGACGCGCUCCAGAGCUUGACGGCGCGGCGAUCGUGGACCGCGUCGCCGUGCCGAGCGGCGCGGACGAAGACGCCCUCGACGCGCUGCUCUACCGCCUCAGGGCGAUGCCAAUGCGCGUGUUCGUCGUGCACGCGACGCAUGACCUCGCCGUGCGGCUCUUCCGGCGGGCGAGUAAGGCCGGGAUGAUGUCCGGCGGCUACGCCUGGGUCGCCACCGACGGCGUAGGCAGCUUCCUGGACAGGCUCGACCCUGAGGACCUCGACUUCAUGCAGGGCGUCGUCAGUCUCCGGCCUCACGUUGAGUACACGAAGCAAGUCAAGAACUUCUCUGCGCGGUUCAGGGCAAGGUUCCGGAGGGAGAACCCGGCCUCCGACGAUGACCUCCUCAACGACGCGACCGUGAUCAGGCUCUGGUCGUACGACACGGCGUGGGCGAUCGCCGCGGGCCGCGGCAGCCGAGACCUGGACCGGCUCGGCGUGUCGGCCACCGGAGCGGCGCUUCUAAGGGCGGUGCUCAACACGACUUUCGACGGGAUGGCCGGCAGGUUCAAGCUGGUAGACGGGCAGCUGCAGGUGGCGGCGUACGAGGUCCUGAACAUCAUCGGGAACGGCGCCAUGACGGUGGGGUACUGGACGCCGGAGUCCGGCAUCUCGCGGGACCUUAAAGUCGGCAGCGGCAAGGCAGCGCGGCAGCUGAAACCCAUCCUCUGGCCGGGCGAGAUGCUGUCCCCGCCGAGAGGCUGGACGGCGUCGCAGAACGAGCGGGUGCUCAAUGUCGCUGUGCCGGUGAAGCACGGGUUCAAGCAGUUCGUGGACGUCUUCUCCGAGAACUCGACGACGCCGAAGAUCACCGGCUACUGCAUCGACGUGUUCGACGCGGUGAUGAAGAAUCUUCCCUACCCGGUAAGCUACCGCUACGUGCCUUACAACGCCAGCUCGGAGUCGUACGAGAUGCUGGUGGACCAGGUGAGCGAGGGGAAGGCGGACAUGGCGGUGGGGGACGUGACGAUCAGAGCGAGCAGGAUGGACAAGGUGGACUUCACGGUGCCGUUCACGGAGUCCGGGUGGGCAAUGGUGGUGGCGACACGGCCGGACACGAGCGCCAGCAUGUGGAUCUUUCUAAAGCCACUGACCACCAGCCUCUGGCUCACCAGCCUCGCCUUCUUUUGCUUCACCGGCUUCGUGGUAUGGGUGUUCGUGGGCACCGCAUCAACCCGGAGUUCCGGGGCACGCCGUCGCAGCAAGGAGAAGCCGGAGAGCAACCUGUCGAGAUUUGUGGUGAUCAUAUGGGUGUUCGUGGUGCUGAUCCUGACGUCGAGCUACACGGCGAGCCUGACGUCGAUGCUGACGGUCCAGCAGCUCCGGCCGACGGUGACGGACGUGAAGGAGCUCCAGAGGCGCGGCCAAUACAUCGGGUACCAGGAGGGCACCUUCAUCGAGCCCAUGCUCAAGAAAAUGGGCUUCGACGAGCGGAGGAUGAAGAAGUACAGCACGGUGGAGCAGUACGCAGUGGCGCUGUCCAAGGGUUCGGCGAACGGCGGCGUGGACGCGGUGUUCGACGAGAUCCCGUACCUGAAGAUGUUCCUGUCGCAGCACUGCGACGGCUACAUGCAGGUGGGGGCCAUCUACAAGACGGACGGCUUCGGGUUCGUCUUCCCAAGGGGGUCGCCCAUGACGGGGGACGUGUCGCGGGAGAUCUUGAAGCUGGCGGAGGGGGACAAGAUGGCGCACAUCGAGAAGGCGUGGUUCGGUGAGCCCGGCACUUGCCAGAACGCGCUGGACGGCAUCGGCGGCGGCUCGUCGAACCUCAGCUUCGGCGGGCUGUUCCUCAUCACCGGCGUCGUCUCCAGCCUCAUGCUGCUGCUCUACCUCGCCAUCUUCGCGUACCGCGAGCGCGAGGAGCUCCGGGAGGCGGAGGCGAAGGCCGAGGCAGAGGCCGGCUCCGGGAGCGUGUCAGUGCGGAGGCUGCGCGCGUGGCUGCAGCACUUCGACAGGAAGGACCUCAAGUCCCCCACCUUCAAGACGUGGAACGACGGGUCCCCCAGGAACGGCAACGACUCCGCGGGCAGGACGCCAAGAUGGAACGGCGGCGCCGGCGACGCGAGCAUGCCGCCGAGGGACGGUGGGGAGGAGCAUCAACAUGCCAUGGAAGGGACCAGCCCGCUGAGCGUGUACAUCAGCUCCGAGAUGAACGCCGGCUCUUCGCCGGAGGGGACGGCGGCGUCGGAGAUCAGUGAGUCGUUCGAGCAGAGGAUCGAGGGGGCAGCAACCGCCGUGGAGGUGACAAUGCCAACGGCCUCUCAGUUGCAGCAGUAG